RNAcentral lists this small RNA (356 nucleotides) under Scopulariopsis candida. Its description in RNAcentral is "eukaryotic LSU rRNA". The stretch from base 1 to 113 matches the Rfam family "5.8S ribosomal RNA", at positions 42 to 154 of the family's 154-position model. Lineage: Eukaryota; Fungi; Ascomycota; Sordariomycetes; Microascales; Microascaceae. The record is from RNAcentral.
AACGCAGCGAAAUGCGAUAAGUAAUGUGAAUUGCAGAAUUCAGUGAAUCAUCGAAUCUUUGAACGCACAUUGCGCCCGGCAGCAAUCUGCCGGGCAUGCCUGUCCGAGCGUCAUUUCUCCCCUCGAGCGCGGCUAGCCCUACGGGGCCUGCCGCCGCCCGGUGUUGGGGCUCUACGGGUGGGGCUCGUCCCCCCCGCAGUCCCCGAAAUGUAGUGGCGGUCCAGCCGCGGCGCCCCCUGCGUAGUAGAUCCUACAUCUCGCAUCGGGUCCCGGCGAAGGCCAGCCGUCGAACCUUCUUACUCAUGGUUUGACCUCGGAUCAGGUAGGGUUACCCGCUGAACUUAAGCAUAUCAAUA